RNAcentral lists this non-coding RNA (218 nucleotides) under Niallia circulans. RNAcentral describes it as "Bacillus circulans T-box sequence". It matches the Rfam family "T-box leader". From Rfam's summary of the family: Uncharged tRNA acts as the effector for transcription antitermination of genes in the T-box leader family. The record is from RNAcentral. Lineage: Bacteria; Bacillati; Bacillota; Bacilli; Caryophanales; Bacillaceae.
AAUGAAACUAUAAAAAGGAUUAGUAUGCAGCAAUGUCUAUAAAAAGAGAGGGUCUAAAUGCUGAAAGGACCUAUAGGCUUACCUGUUGAACCUGCCUUUUUCGUUCUGUAUCGAAUAGACUUUGUUUAAGAAGAUUCAGCGGUUCAAUACCGUUAACAUGGAAGAGUGUAAAGCUUUGCUUUGAAUUAGGGUGGUACCGCCAUUAAUUGGUCCCUAAU